Molecule: long non-coding RNA, 731 nt
Organism: Oncorhynchus tshawytscha (Chinook salmon)
Lineage: Eukaryota; Metazoa; Chordata; Actinopteri; Salmoniformes; Salmonidae
Source: Ensembl
GUGGAGGGGUGGCAGGGUAGCCUAGUGGUUAGAGUGGAGGGGGCAGGUAGCCUAGUGGUUAGAGUGGAGGGGCAGCAGGUAGCCUAGUGGUUAGAGUGGAGGGGUGGCAGGUAGCCUAGUGGUUAGAGUGGAGGGGUGCAGGUAGCCUAGUGGUUAGAGAGGAGGGAUGGCAGGUAGCCUCAUGGUUAGAGAGGAGGGGUGGCAGGUAGCCUAGUGGUUAGAGUGGAGGGGUGGCAGGUAGCCUAGUGGUUAGAGUGGAGUGGCGGCAGGUAGCCUAGUGGUUAGAGUGGCGGGGCGGCAGGUAGCCUAGUGGUUAGAGUGGAGGGGCGGCAGGUAGCCUAGUGGUUAGAGUGGAGGGGAGGCAGGGAGCCUAGUGGUUAGAGUGGAGGGGCGGCAGGUAGCCUAGUGGUUAGAGUGGAGGGGCGGCAGGUAGCCUAGUGGUUAGAGUGGAGGGGCGGCAGGUAGCCUAGUGGUUAGAGUGGAGGGGCGGCAGGUAGCCUAGUGGUUAGAGUGGAGGGGCGGCAGGUAGCCUAGUGGUUAGAGUGGAGGGGCGGCAGGUAGCCUAGUGGUUAGAGUGGAGGGGCGGCAGGUAGCCUAGUGGUUAGAGUGGAGGGGAGGCAGGGAGCCUAGUGGUUAGAGUGGAGUGGCGGCAGGUAGCCUUGUGGUUGGGCCAGUAACCGAAAGGUUUCUGGAUUGAAUCCCCGAGCUGACAAGGUAAAAAUCUGUCGUUC